AAUUAGGAUGAUUCCUCCAUCCUGGGUUAUAAGUUGGUGCAUAGGGAUAAUUUAUAGGUCUUUGAUAGGUGGCAUAGACUUGUGCCAUUCUAUUUUUGGUUGAGCCCAUCAGGAAAGGAUAUUCUUCCAUAACAUGAUCUGGUGCGUUACACCCAUUGCACAUGGGUGCAAAUACUUAGUUUACUUAGGUGUGUCCUUGAAGUUCUAAGGCCUCAAUCCUAUGGGCC
This 227-nucleotide long non-coding RNA is filed under the name Elaeis guineensis (African oil palm). Its description in RNAcentral is "long non-coding RNA (EGUI_LNC042584)". Lineage: Eukaryota; Viridiplantae; Streptophyta; Magnoliopsida; Arecales; Arecaceae. The record is from RNAcentral.